GAGUUUGAUCAUGGCUCAGAAUGAACGCUGGCGGCGUGGAUUAGGCAUGCAAGUCGGACGGGCAAAGCAAUAUGUCAGUGGCGACCUGGUUAGUACAAGUUGGGUAACCUGCCGGAAAGUGGGGAACAACCUCUCGAAAGAGGGGCUAAUACCGCAUGUGGUCACGGGGUCUUAGGAACCUGUGACGAAAGCAGCGAUGCGCUUUCCGAUGGGCCCGACCACCAUUAGCUUGUUGGUAGGGUAAUGGCCUACCAAGGCGACGAUGGUUAGCUGGCCUGAGAGGGUGGUCAGCAACACGAGGACUGAGAUACGGCCUCGACUCCUACGGGGGGCAGCAGUCUAGAGGCUUCGGCAAUGGACGAAAGUCUGACCGAGCGACGCCGCGUGGAGGAUGAAGGUCUUCGGAUUGUAAACUCCUUUCGGCUGGAAGGAAAGGGUAGGUGGCGAACUUACCUGUGACCGACCGGCGGAAGAAGCCCCGGCUAACUUCGUGCCAGCAGCCGCGGUAAUACGAAGGGGGCAAGCGUUAUUCGGAUUUAUUGGGCGUAAAGGGCGUGUAGGUGGCUUGAAAAGUCUGGUGUGAAAACGCUACCGCUCAACGGAGCGAAUGCGCUGGAUACUUUCAAACUUGAGUUCGAGAGAGGCAGGCAGAAUACCUGGUGUAGCGGUGGAAUGCUUAGAGAUCAGGUAGAAUACCCGAGGCGAAGGCGGCCUGCUGGCUCGUAACUGACACUGAGGCGCGAAAGCGUGGGGAUCAAACGGGAUUAGAUACCCCGGUAGUCCACGCUGUAAACGGUGAAUACUAGGUGUAGGGGGUACCCAUUCCCUCUGUGCCGUCGUUAACACAGUAAGUAUUCCGCCUGGGAAGUACGGCCGCAAGGUUGAAACUCAAAGGAAUUGACGGGGGCCCGCACAAGCGGUGGAGCAUGUGGUUUAAUUCGACGCAACGCGAAGAACCUUACCUGGGCUCGAAAUGCAGCUUACAGAGGAUGAAAGUCCUUGCCCUUCGGGGGUGCUGCAUAGGUGCUGCAUGGCUGUCGUCAGCUCGUGUCGUGAGAUGUUGGGUUAAGUCCCGCAACGAGCGCAACCCCCGUCCUUAGUUGCCAGCACGUAAUGGUGGGGACUCUAGGGAGACUGCCCCGGAUAACGGGGAGGAAGGUGGGGAUGACGUCAAGUCAUCAUGGCCCUUACGUCCAGGGCUACACACGUGCUACAAUGGCUGAGACAAUGCGCCGCCACUUGGCGACAAGGAGCGAAUCGCAUAAACUCGGUCCCAGUUCAGAUUGGAGGCUGCAACCCGCCUCCAUGAAGAUGGAAUCGCUAGUAAUCGCAGAUCAGCUACGCUGCGGUGAAUAUGUUCCCGGGCCUUGUACACACCGCCCGUCACGUCACGAAAGUUGGUUGUACCAGAAGUCGCUGUAGGAACCGCAAGGACCAAGGCGCCGAAGGUAUGACUAGUAAUUGGGACGAAGUCGUAACAAGGUA
RNAcentral lists this ribosomal RNA (1485 nucleotides) under metagenome. RNAcentral's name for it is "bacterial SSU rRNA". It matches the Rfam family "Bacterial small subunit ribosomal RNA". The record is from RNAcentral.